RNAcentral lists this ribosomal RNA (377 nucleotides) under uncultured bacterium. RNAcentral describes it as "bacterial SSU rRNA". It matches the Rfam family "Bacterial small subunit ribosomal RNA", at positions 362 to 757 of the family's 1533-position model. The record is from RNAcentral.
UAUUGGACAAUGGGCGAAAGCCUGAUCCAGCAAUGCCGCGUGAGUGAUGAAGGCCUUAGGGUUGUAAGGCUCUUUUACCCGGGAUGAUAAUGACAGUACCGGGAGAAUAAGCUCCGGCUAACUCCGUGCCAGCAGCCGCGGUAAUACGGAGGGAGCUAGCGUUGUUCGGAAUUACUGGGCGUAAAGCGCACGUAGGCGGCGUUGUAAGUUAGAGGUGAAAGCCUGGAGCUCAACUCCAGAACUGCCUUUAAGACUGCAUCGCUUGAAUCCAGGAGAGGUGAGUGGAAUUCCGAGUGUAGAGGUGAAAUUCGUAGAUAUUCGGAAGAACACCAGUGGCGAAGGCAGCUCACUGGACUGGUAUGACGCUGAGGUGCGAA